Molecule: ribosomal RNA, 407 nt
Filed under: uncultured bacterium
Lineage: Bacteria
Description: partial 16S ribosomal RNA
Rfam family: Bacterial small subunit ribosomal RNA
Source: RNAcentral
GACGAACGCUGGCGGCGUGCUUAACACAUGCAAGUCGAACGAAGUGGCGAACGGGUGAGUAACGCGUAGGUAACUACCUAUUAGAGGGGGAUAACUAUUGGAAACGAUAGCUAAUACCGCAUACUAGUAGAUGGACCUGCGUUGUAUUAGCUAGUAGGUAGGGGAAUGGCCUACCUAGGCAACGAUACAUAGCCGACCAGAGGGGGGGAGCGGCCAAACGGGGCCUGAGACACGGCCCAGACACCAACGGGAGGCAGAAGUAGGGAAUCUUCGGCAAUGGGGGGAACCCUGACCGAGCAAAGCGGCGUGAGUGAAGAAGGUUUUCGGAUCGUAAAGCUCUGUUGUUAAGGAAGCGGUACUUAACCAGAAAGGGACGGCUAACUACGUGCCAGCAGCCGCGGUAAUUC